Molecule: ribosomal RNA, 435 nt
Filed under: uncultured bacterium
Lineage: Bacteria
Description: partial 16S ribosomal RNA
Rfam family: Bacterial small subunit ribosomal RNA
Source: RNAcentral
AGCGAACGCUGGCGGCAGGCUUAACACAUGCAAGUCGAGCGGGCACUUUCGGGUGUCAGCGGCGGACGGGUGAGUAACGCGUGGGAACGUGCCCUGGUGUGCGGUAUAACAGGGGAAAACGUGCGAAAACCGGGGAUACGCCCUUGUGGGGAAAGGCUUGCUGCCGGAGGAUCGGCCCGCGUCUGAUUAGCUAGUUGGUGAGGUAACGGCUCACCAAGGCGACGAUCAGUAGCUGGUCUGAGAGGAUGAUCAGCCACACUGGGACUGAGACACGGCCCAGACUCCUACGGGAGGCAGCAGUGGGGAAUAUUGGACAAUGGGCGCAAGCCUGAUCCAGCCAUGCCGCGUGAGUGAUGAAGGCCUUAGGGUUGUAAAGCUCUUUUAUCCGGGACGAUAAUGACGGUACCGGAGGAAUAAGCCCCGGCUAACUUCGUG